UCCAGAAGCUCCUGGCCCAUACACUGAUUCAUAACAAUAGCAGAGCAUCGUCAUGUCCUCCUAGUCUGUCUCAGGUUUGGGUCAGCCCGUAGGAACGUACAAAAACAAUGGAAGUAGAUUUGGGCCAGUUUAGCAUUGAGCUUUUACCCUAGUCCAUGUAAGAAAGUAAAUCAGAUUCAACUCGAUGCUAUACGUCCAUAGACUAAAUCAGAUUUAACUCUUGCCAUACGUCCACAGCCUUUACCGCCGCCUCUCCUACCUGAGUACCUUCUGUCCUCUUUACUUCAACCAGCAAACCACCAUGUCAGGACUAGGAGAGGCAAACAACCUCUGUUCGUAGCUUCACGCCACCUCCUCACGCUAGCGAGCCUUUGCACUGCGGCCUCCAGCGCUCCCUGCGCUAGCCUCUGCUUUUGCGCUGCAUGUACCGCUCCCGAGGAAGGGGUGCCUUGGCCGAUGAGUGCAAAGGCGGCGGCACCGGUGGACCUGGCUUAUGGCGCGAGCUCUCUUGGCGGCCUGGCCUGGGGGCACGACAUUGGCUGAUGUCCUCUUCGAUUCUCUCUGAUUUUAUGAUUCGAAUUUUUCUCCAAUUUCCUCUUCCAUCGAUUCGUGUAUGGAUGUAGAAGGUAUUGAUUUUGGUGCUUGCUGUUGAGGUCAGCAGACCGGCGUUAAUUUUGUGCUCGACGUUUUAUCUAUAUAUAUGGUUGAUGUCCUUUUUUUGUACGAGUUUUCAUAUCAUGAUAUUUGACUUUGUUUUGGACUCGAUGUAGAAUCUGGAUUGGUUUGGUUCGUUGCUGGGUAUGUGUCAUGCCCGAGUUGGAUACCAGAUAGCUAUGAUCUUUAGUUUGCUGUGGCCUCGAAUCAAUUGGAUAUGUGGAGGGAUUUGGUCUUUCAGAGGAUGCUUUCGGACUACAGAGGGGGAUUAGUCAGGAGGCCAGACGAAAUUAGAUCCAGACGAAAUAAUUUUGUCUCUUUAAGAAUUGUAAUAUAUACAGACAGAGAUAUUAUAUAUAUCUAUAUGGACAUGUCGGACGGAACGGUCCGGCAGACUGAAAUUUUCAUCUUUAAAUAUUAGGGAUCAGAUAAGAUCUUGAAGUCAUUUAUUUGCUAAAAGGUUGUCUUAAAAUUGUAAAAAACAAGGAUCAUGUUACGUGAAAGCACACAAGCCUCCGGCAACACGUCCCAUUUUUUUGAGUUUAUUCAAAUCUGC
RNAcentral lists this long non-coding RNA (1210 nucleotides) under Sorghum bicolor (sorghum). Its description in RNAcentral is "long non-coding RNA (SBIC_LNC009386)". Lineage: Eukaryota; Viridiplantae; Streptophyta; Magnoliopsida; Poales; Poaceae. The record is from RNAcentral.